Molecule: ribosomal RNA, 254 nt
Filed under: uncultured bacterium
Lineage: Bacteria
Description: partial 16S ribosomal RNA
Rfam family: Bacterial small subunit ribosomal RNA
Source: RNAcentral
UACGUAGGGGGCUAGCGUUAUCCAGAUUUACUGGGCGUAAAGCGCGUGUAGGCGGCUGGUUAGGUGUGAUGUGAAAUCCUCGGGCUCAACCCGAGAACUGCAUUGCAAACCGGCCUGGCUAGAGUGCAGGAGAGGGAAGCGGAAUUCCAGGUGUAGCGGUGAAAUGCGUAGAUAUCUGGAGGAACACUAGUGGCGAAGGUGGUUUCCUGGUUUGUAAUUGACGUUGAGACGCGAAAGUGUGGGGAGCGAAUUGG